GAACUGAUAGUGGAGAAUAAAUUCAUACUGUUCUAAACUUCAAAACAAAAUUUGAUAGGAUUGUUUACAAUGUAAAAAUGAAAAUUUUACAUGCACAAGUUUCAGCUGAAACUGAUUUUUUUAAGACAUAAGGCCGUUAUGUCACACCUUGCAAUGCAAUCAGUGUCACAGGCGCAUUUCUAUGUGCUGAUGAAAACUGAAGAUCAAAGUUAACCUGCAAGUUUACUGGGUGGCAGGAAGCAAAUAAUUUCUCCACCCAAAUCAUCACAGGGCCUGCUAAAAAAAGUAUGAAUGAUCGUCUGAGAAACAAUGUUCGCAACUUCCUUUCAAUGGAUAUCUCUCACCUCAACCUCAUCCUCCGUCAGUUAUGUAGAAACCAGAGCAUGAAGAUCAGUAGAUGGGCCUCUUAGGCAAACAAGCCCCCAGUCCCUAUUUCCCCUUGCUGCAGCUCCUUUCUGUGCUGCUCUUCUAAAGGAUCUGGACUCUUCAAUAUUCUUCGCAGACGCCUGUCUUGAGCAUGCUGAGCAGGAAAAGUAGGCAUGAAAUCUUUAGACUUCGGAAGAGGAACUUCACGAAACCACUCAUGGUUAAGAGCAGUAUCAGCACUUAUUCGCUUCUCAGGGUCAUAGGUUAGA
Molecule: unclassified non-coding RNA, 635 nt
Filed under: Hevea brasiliensis (rubber tree)
Lineage: Eukaryota; Viridiplantae; Streptophyta; Magnoliopsida; Malpighiales; Euphorbiaceae
Source: RNAcentral